RNAcentral lists this ribosomal RNA (445 nucleotides) under Bacillus sp. (in: firmicutes). RNAcentral's name for it is "bacterial SSU rRNA". It matches the Rfam family "Bacterial small subunit ribosomal RNA", at positions 350 to 797 of the family's 1533-position model. Lineage: Bacteria; Bacillati; Bacillota; Bacilli; Caryophanales; Bacillaceae. The record is from RNAcentral.
AAGAACGACGAGAAGUCAGAUAAGUCUGAGGACACGCCGCGUGAGUGAUGAAGGUUUUCGGAUCGUAAAACUCUGUUGAUAGGGAAGAACAAGUACCGUUCGAAUAGGGCGGUACCUUGACGGUACCUAACCAGAAAGCCACGGCUAACUACGUGCCAGCACCCGCGGUAAUACGUAGGUGGCAAGCGUUGUCCGGAAUUAUUGGGCGUAAAGCGCGCGCAGGCGGUUUCUUAAGUCUGAUGUGAAAGCCCCCGGCUCAACCGGGGAGGGUCAUUGGAAACUGGGGAACUUGAGUGCAGAAGAGGAGAGUGGAAUUCCACGUGUAGCGGUGAAAUGCUUAAAGAUGUGGAGGAACACCAGUGGCGAAGGCGACUCUCUGGUCUGUAACUGACGCUGAGGCGCGAAAGCGUGGGGAGCGAACAGGAUUAGAUACCCCCGUAGUCCA